Non-coding RNA from Vicia faba (fava bean), 306 nucleotides. Lineage: Eukaryota; Viridiplantae; Streptophyta; Magnoliopsida; Fabales; Fabaceae. The record is from the annotation of a GenBank genome assembly.
AUGAAUAGAAAGAGCCUCUUUUUUGUACUUGUCGCAGUGCAGAAGUUAAUGCAUCUCAGUUUGAGGCACAUGCUAGAUGGUCAUCUCGAUGCAAGUCGCGAGUUCUUUACAUUCUGUUGUUGGAUCUGUAGGGUGUAUAUAACAUGUCUAACUAGCUUUAUAGUGAACUAUGAUUUUCAAGUGUUGAGUUUCUACUCUUCUCCUUACAGAUUUUUGUUGAAUUUUUCACAGAUUCUUAACUUUGGAAAUGAAGUGAUGAAGGUGUAUGUUUCAUGCAGAUUUCAUGGAUUUGAUUUGGAUGAAUAA